Molecule: ribosomal RNA, 253 nt
Filed under: uncultured bacterium
Lineage: Bacteria
Description: partial 16S ribosomal RNA
Rfam family: Bacterial small subunit ribosomal RNA
Source: RNAcentral
UACGGAGGGUGCAAGCGUUAUCCGGAUUCACUGGGUUUAAAGGGUGCGUAGGUGGGUUUGUAAGUCAGUGGUGAAAUCUCCGAGCUUAACUUGGAAACUGCCAUUGAUACUAUAGAUCUUGAAUUUUCUGGAGGUAAGCGGAAUAUGUCAUGUAGCGGUGAAAUGCUUAGAUAUGACAUAGAACACCAAUUGCGAAGGCAGCUUUCUACAGGAAUAUUGACACUGAGGCACGAAAGCGUGGGUAGCAAACAGG